CCCCGGGUGGCUCAGUUGGUAGAGCACGGUGUUUGCAACACCAGGGUUGUGGGUUUGAUUCCCACGGUGGGGC
RNAcentral lists this transfer RNA (73 nucleotides) under Salmo salar (Atlantic salmon). It matches the Rfam family "tRNA". Rfam says of the family: Transfer RNA (tRNA) molecules are approximately 80 nucleotides in length. Their secondary structure includes four short double-helical elements and three loops (D, anti-codon, and T loops). The record is from Rfam by way of RNAcentral. Lineage: Eukaryota; Metazoa; Chordata; Actinopteri; Salmoniformes; Salmonidae.